CGCGUAGGCGGCCCUGUCAGUCGGGUGUGAAAGCCCGGGGCUCAACCCCGGAACGGCACCCGAGACGGCAGGGCUGGAGACCGGGAGAGGAGGGUGGAAUAGCCAGUGUAGAGGUGAAAUUCGUAGAUAUUGGCUGGAACACCGGUGGCGAAAGCGGCUCUCUGGCCCGGUUCUGACGCUGAGGCGCGAAAGCGUGGGGAGCAAACA
This 207-nucleotide ribosomal RNA is filed under the name uncultured bacterium. RNAcentral describes it as "partial 16S ribosomal RNA". It matches the Rfam family "Bacterial small subunit ribosomal RNA", at positions 568 to 774 of the family's 1533-position model. The record is from RNAcentral.